GGUUCAUUCCUCCAGAUUCUGUCUCUGAUAAAAGAUGUGAUUGAUAUCAGGUGUGUUGGCUUUCAUCAGAGGUUUAUUUAUAAAGCAGAAAACAUCAUUAAAGGUCAUGUGACCAAGUGUACCAAUACAAGAGUUAUAGAAGAGAAAAGAAGUAAACCUAACCGGCUUCAUCUAUUGUCA
This is a long non-coding RNA of Clupea harengus (Atlantic herring), 180 nucleotides long. RefSeq lists it as uncharacterized. Lineage: Eukaryota; Metazoa; Chordata; Actinopteri; Clupeiformes; Clupeidae. The record is from RefSeq and is a predicted model, not a curated record. The transcript has 2 exons.